Molecule: ribosomal RNA, 233 nt
Filed under: uncultured bacterium
Lineage: Bacteria
Description: partial 16S ribosomal RNA
Rfam family: Bacterial small subunit ribosomal RNA
Source: RNAcentral
UACGGAGGGUGCAAGCGUUAUCCGGAUUCACUGGGUUAAAGCGUGCGCAGGCGGUUUUGUAAGCCAGAUGUGAAAUCCCCGGGCUUAACCUGGGAAUGGCAUUUGGGACUGCAAGGCUUGAGUUUGGCAGAGGAGACUGGAAUUCCUGGUGUAGCAGUGAAAUGCGUAGAUAUCAGGAGGAAUACCGAUGGCGAAGGCAGGUCUCUGGGCUAGAACUGACGCUCAUGCACGAA